Molecule: ribosomal RNA, 253 nt
Filed under: uncultured bacterium
Lineage: Bacteria
Description: partial 16S ribosomal RNA
Rfam family: Bacterial small subunit ribosomal RNA
Source: RNAcentral
UACGUAGGGUGCGAGCGUUAAUCGGAAUUACUGGGCGUAAAGCGUGCGCAGGCGGUUCGUUAAGUCAGAUGUGAAAGCCCCGGGCUCAACCUGGGAACUGCAUUUGAAACUGGCGGGCUUGAGUGUGGCAGAGGGGGGUGGAAUUCCACGUGUAGCAGUGAAAUGCGUAGAGAUGUGGAGGAACACCGAUGGCGAAGGCAGCCUCCUGGGCCAGUACUGACGCUGAGGCGCGAAAGCGUGGGGAGCAAACAGG